UGGCACUAAGAUCUUGAACUACUCCCUGGAC
RNAcentral lists this non-coding RNA (31 nucleotides) under Mus musculus (house mouse). The record is from RNAcentral. Lineage: Eukaryota; Metazoa; Chordata; Mammalia; Rodentia; Muridae.